This 5478-nucleotide ribosomal RNA is filed under the name Triticum aestivum (bread wheat). Its description in RNAcentral is "partial small subunit ribosomal RNA". Lineage: Eukaryota; Viridiplantae; Streptophyta; Magnoliopsida; Poales; Poaceae. The record is from RNAcentral.
GGGGAAGCCGGUUCGGUACGGAGGAUGAUGAUGAAGGGGGUGGUAUAGGCGGAGGGGGGAGGUGGAGGCGCAGGGGAGACCGUAGGGGGAGGAGGGCAGGUGUUUGGGAUUGGGAUUAGAGCGGCCGAGGAGGCGGCAGCGCCGGGCGGGGGUGGCGGCAGGAGCGGCGAGGGGCGCAAGCGGAGCCAAGGGCGAGGUGGGGGCCUCGCAGGGAGGUGCGCGCGCGCGCCCACCCGUGAUCGAUCCCAAAGCUAUACCUGGGCGCGGCGGGAAGGGGCGCGCCGCGGCGGUUGCCGUCGCCCCUGCGCCGCACUAGUGACUAGCCCCGACCCCUACCGACACCUCGUGAAACAGUGACCUGAGCCCCUAAAGAGAGCCCCACACCACCCGGACAAAGAACAAACAGGCAAAACGUCCACGUUAAGCCGUCACCAAACCCACCCUCGACGGCCAAAGCCGAGUCCCAAUUCUCCGAGCGAUCAACCUUGGAUUACGUCGGUAACGAUUUGAAAUUCCAGGGAAAUGGCCUUCUAGAACUAGCUAUACCCUUAUCAUCGGGUUUACCCUCGCACUCAUCAGUUCCAGUUCCCAGGAACAGCCUAGUCAUGUUACCACACUCACUACGAAGAGUACCCGACGUAGCUUUCGCUUUUUCCGUAGAACCACAACGCUCGCUACUACUCCUUCGUCUACUGGUGUCAUUGGUUUAUUGGCUCCUCGUGAUGGCAUGUUACGACUCACUUGUACAAGUUUUCAUGUCUUCCAGUUUCCUAUUCCUCCCACAAAAACCAAGACUAGGAGGAGCCCGUCUGUGGGGGGUUUACUAUUUUGUGUUUUUACCGUUAUGUUCUCAAUACUUUAUGUCUUCACUAAAGUUCCUACAACGUCGUAAUCCACACAAUCUUUGGAGUGGACUCAUAUUACCCUACCCUAGAUAAUCACGUAUACCACCAAAGUUAUUCUAACAUCGAAGUGAACUAAGAAGGAUAAACCUAUACCCCCUAUUACACUCGAUGAAUUAAGGUCUCCCAAUACUAUUCAACCGUAGAAGGGAAUUAGACGGACAAAAAAGACUAUAUGCACAGCUCCUCGUAAAGAACUUACCGUGCGAUCUAGACGCGUGGGACAGUCGUUACGAACCGUGACUGGAAUUCAAACUCCGAUGAUCAGCACCACCUAAUCGGCUUGGAGUCGGAGUUGUACUUAGUGAGUUCCUUUCCCAUUUCUAGGUCUUUAAACGUGAAGUUCAUUGACUCCUGGGGAAACGUUAAGGUCUCCCUAGUCGACCCUCUUAUGCUUCUAGAUAAUAAAGUCUUAGACCAUCAAACGUCCAAGUAAUACAAUUUCAGAACCUUUUUCCUCUAUGUAUACUCUAAUAGCUCGCCUCGAACGGUUUCUUCGUUUAUCACUUUUUCCUUGUAAGACUUUUACACUUUCUUCUAAACCGUUCAAAAAACUUUGCGACCGUAUAAUAACGAUCUUUGUAAGGUUUCGUAGUGUCUUUAAAGUGACGAAACGACUUCUUUGCCGUUUACCUACGAUUUGCGAAAAGACUCUUAACAGUUGCCCUCCACUUCGAGUUCCAGUCGUCCAGUGACUUUGACUACUCUUCACGAGGUCAUGCGUGUUCCUUCGAACGAUCCCUAUACAACUAUAAAACCUUUGCCCAUCUGUUCCUUGUCAUACUCAACUCCUUUUCUCUCCUUUCUCUACGUCGACUUCGAAACUUCGCUCUUCUCCUUGAUGCGCUUCGUUUUUCUGUCGUCGUCUCCGAGUUGAAAGACGAUAGGGUUUGACUCGAGAUAUCAGUGAAAUACGUCUUAUUCCGACCGCUUAGUCGUGACGGACUACUCCCUAGACGAGGACUCCAACUACUGCUCCUUCUAGGGCUCCUUCGACUUAAUUUUUCUCUCCGAAAAUCUCGACGAGUCGUACGGCAAAGGGUUGUUUUUUCCUACUGUUUACGUAAACUAUCACUUUAACACUCCGAAACAGUUAGAAGCCUCAGACCGUAAGGUUGCCUGCUAAGUCGAUGAUACCUCGGAUCGUUCUAACUAGAGAAUGUGGGGAGUUGUUACGGACUCGUCAGUAGACACGUCUGGGGACUCAACAAAUUUCCACAUAAUUUUCUUAUAGUCAAUUUCCCGAACGUCACCGACCAGUUAACGAUACUUGUCCCCAAUUUACCGUAAGAACGACUGCUCUACCCAGAACCGUUUUGACACGUCCGAUACCGUAAGAAUAGGGUGAACCGACUCCUAUUUUUGUAUACCCCAGGGAAGGACCACCAACGAGGACGUAGACAACACUUAUUAACCCGACUUCUCCAUUAGUCUAAGACGGGACUAGAAUUCUAUGAGGGUAUAACCCCGGGUCUUUCCCACCAAGAAGCGUUCUUGUAGUUAGGGUUCGCAGAAAUAGCCUCUCUACGAUCGAAGGUGUAAGAGUAGUGUUUAAUAGUCUAUGAACACUUACUUCUCUUCGAAAACUCUGCACAAUUCACCGUCAUGUACCAUAACCUACUCCGGGUCCGAUAUUUUUCAAGUUCGUCGGUCGCGACCUUCUGAAACGACUCGAAAUUGACAUCUUUAGCGAACGAAGAAUGACCCUGUGGUUAAGUCUUGUUGUACCGACUCGAUACCCGUGAAGAAGUAAAGUAGUACGGGUGAAACAAACUGUCGGUGCUUGUCAAAUUACUCACCAAGAGUUUUCCCUAACUCCCGGUACGACUUGUACCUCCCUGGAACUUGCUUGUAGUUGAAUCAGCUGACGUACGAUAUAACUUCGGCAAAUACGAGGCGGCACAAUUCUAACUACAGUAUCGUCUUUACUGCCUUUUCUUUCUUCUUUAACACGGGACGUCUAACUCAAGAGCGGUCGUUUAGAAGAUAGUUCGGUAUUUCUUAUUCUAGAGAGAAUUACUCAACGAACUACCUUCAGCACCGUUAGAUUUACUAUUCUUCGACGAAUCGGACUACUUAUAACAGUACGUCGAUGCAUUCCAGACGUUAGUAGGUCUCGACAAGCUCGCGUUACUCCCUUCGAUAAUGAAAAUAAAACGCCUUUAGGGUUUAAGAGAAGAAGGAGGGGGUAAACCCCUCAACGUUCUAUAUGUAAUACGUCCGUUCUCCUUAGGAUAUCACAAACUCUAAGGCUUCAAUCAAAUACUUCCCUAGUAGACAUUGUGUCUUUAUGGGCAGCUACCAACACCUAAGGCCUUACCUAUAUAGUUGUCCGACAAGUUAUAAAAAAACGGUUCGUUAUAGGUAUUAAGCCGUCAAGGUCUUAGUUGAAGUGCUUGGUGUAGAUAAGACGGUAGACCACGUAAACCGAAAUGUGCAAAUUGCUUAGACAGGGGUCAACUUCGAAGGAAGGACCAGUGAAGAAGUAAUAAACUCUCUGAUCACAAAAGUCGCUGUGCAACGUUCUACCUCAUACAACUACUUUAGCACCUAGAUAAGGAACUAAGUCUUCCAAGACUAGAGGUCGAGUCAGUCAUACUACGGUGUUUUCAGGCCCGACAAUGAUCUAAUAACGAAAGUGGAUUUUCCCGUCUGAGGUCAAACGAGUCUUGUUUUAAACUUUAUCCGGACUCGCUAUUGGGCACACUUCGUGAUCACGAAAGAGUGGUACUAUCCGAACAGAGCUUGUAUGCCGAAGAAGCAAGUUGUAUACCAAAAUAGGGUGGUCGAUCUCGUGGCGGCUAUUUACAGACAACAAGUCUAGCCUUAAAACGGAUGUUCAAUUGUCUACUCUACGUACUAGGGACCUAGUUCUUCGACAAAGACCCUAAACGAGCGUAAAGGCUCAAAUUACCAGGAUCUUAUGACUUACCAGUAUUAUGAAAGUAUGUCCUUCAUACAUGACUAAACGGGUAGGGACUCGGCUACGAUGUCAAUGGCAUGUCCUAUAAGCCCAGUAGAGGCGGAUACUCAUUAAAACUAGGUCGAUUUUACGAGUGCCUAAGACCCUUCGAGGUGUGCAAUCUAUUUGAUGACGCCGUUGAGGCUCGACUUUUAGUGGCACACGAGGAUAAACGAGUCUACUGAUUUUACAACCUGUAGGAACUCCUGAUGUACUUAAAGUCCUUUAAGUUCAUAAAGUCUGACCUGCCCAGAAGACGUUAAAGACUAGCAGCACUGUACCAGGCCUUAAAGGUCUUGUCCUUACUAUAUAAACAGAAGAACGAUUCAUGUUCUCGACCCCCUGAUCCUUAAUUAAACUGACGACGACUGUGCCAAUAUAAAAUGCUUUAACUGACCUUAGGCUGUGUUCUGGUCGUCCGUUACCUAUCUUGUGUGUCUGAACCAGUCUGCUUCCUCCAUUGGCACAUAUCUGAAUAUACGUUUCUGUGAUAACUCCUCUUUUAGAACGUUUCCCGUUUCGUCUUCUUACGUCACGUUCUCAACCAAUACUUUCCCUUUGUUCAAGUCCUACUAGUAGACUACUCUGUUCUCCUACAACAAAGUAAUGAAGAACUACUAUGUGUCUAACGUGUGUUUAACUUUCUUUAUAGUUACGUCCGUUUCCUAGCUAAUUUCUUCUCCGCUCGUUUCCGGUAGUUCCAACUGUUUCUUCCUCUAAACUUCGAACUUCUGAACCUACUAGGUUGACUUCUUGGACAUCUUGUUCUAUUAUGUUGGUCGUUUUUCUUUUUUUCGAGCGUGUUCUUUGGAGGUUUCAGUGUCCUAUUACUACCACGCCUACCGCUACAAGGACUCUCACCAGGACAGUUUUUACUCCUCGUAUAACGAAGGGACUCCGGAUUUUCUAGUUUCUCUGAUCACUCCUCGUGCCCACUCCUAUUCCUUGGGCAACGACGAACACUACAACUCUUUGGACGUCUACGUCGACUUUUGUUACUGUUGUUACUACGUCUUCUCAACGUUCUGGUCUGAGGAAGACGGAUCAACUGGAUGACCCGACUGGACUACUCUUGUAUUCUACGCUUACCGUUCUGAGAUUAAACACCACAGCUCAUCCUCGUAGUUUCUACCGUGGGUCUCCUCCUCGAGACCUAGACGAAUUCCACAAUGCGCCAAAUAAUUCAUAAAAUUGAGACGACACGUCGAAGAAAAGUCUUCGGACCCUGACGUUGAACCCACGUCAACGUUACUCGACUCGGGUUACUACCGACAAUGCGGUCGGAAAUAGGGACGACAACCACUAUGAGCGAGAUCGGUAAAACAUUUAUUCAUAAUCGUUACAAGGCAGUGUAUAUCCUUAUUAAAACGACACAUUUCUCUCAUCACUACAUCUCAAAACAAUCCGAUUUUUACUUGUACCGUCCUUUAUAGACGACACGAAGGCUCAACCUUUGUAUAUAGUGAUUUAAAUACUGAAAUAAAUCAGCCAGGUUAUCUACUAUACACACAGAUAAUGAGGGUGGCAAAGUUAUUCCCAAACGGUUUAGUGAAGAAAGUAACACAUGAAUUAAAUAUGCUCACUUUUUAUUACGAGGUAGGCUAAGUAUAACAG